RNAcentral lists this ribosomal RNA (487 nucleotides) under uncultured bacterium. Its description in RNAcentral is "partial 16S ribosomal RNA". It matches the Rfam family "Bacterial small subunit ribosomal RNA", at positions 899 to 1397 of the family's 1533-position model. The record is from RNAcentral.
ACUCAAAUGAAUUGACGGGGGCCCGCACAAGCAGCGGAGCGUGUGGUUUAAUUCGAUGCAACGCGAAGAACCUUACCUGCGCUUGACAUGGAGUUGCACCAGGGGUAAUGCCCUGUCCGGUUUACCGGCGGCUCCACAGGUGCUGCAUGGCUGUCGUCAGCUCGUGCCGUGAGGUGUUGGGUUAAGUCCCCUAACGAGCGCAACCCCUGAGGUCCGUUACCUUGGUGUCGGGCCUGACUGCCGCGCGCAACGCGGAGGAAGGUGGGGAUGACGUCAAGUCAGCACGGCCCUGACGCGCAGGGCGACACACACGCUACAAUGGCCGGUACAACGGGUUGCCAAGCCGCGAGGCGGAGCCAAUCCCAGCAAAGCCGGUCUCAGUUCGGAUGGCAGGCUGCAACUCGCCUGCCUGAAGUCGGAGUUGCUAGUAACCGCGGGUCAGCACACCGCGGUGAAUACGUUCCCGGGCCUUGCACACACCGCCCGU